RNAcentral lists this ribosomal RNA (482 nucleotides) under uncultured bacterium. RNAcentral describes it as "partial 16S ribosomal RNA". It matches the Rfam family "Bacterial small subunit ribosomal RNA", at positions 30 to 507 of the family's 1533-position model. The record is from RNAcentral.
AUUGAACGCUGGCGGCAUGCUUUACACAUGCAAGUCGAACGGUAACAGGCCGCAAGGUGCUGACGAGUGGCGAACGGGUGAGUAAUGUAUCGGAACGUGCCCAGUCGUGGGGGAUAACUACUCGAAAGAGUAGCUAAUACCGCAUACGAUCUAUGGAUGAAAGCGGGGGACCGUAAGGCCUCGCGCGAUUGGAGCGGCCGAUGUCAGAUUAGGUAGUUGGUGGGGUAAAGGCUCACCAAGCCAACGAUCUGUAGCUGGUCUGAGAGGACGACCAGCCACACUGGGACUGAGACACGGCCCAGACUCCUACGGGAGGCAGCAGUGGGGAAUUUUGGACAAUGGGCGCAAGCCUGAUCCAGCAAUGCCGCGUGCAGGAAGAAGGCCUUCGGGUUGUAAACUGCUUUUGUACGGAACGAAACGGCUCUGGUUAAUACCCGGGGCUAAUGACGGUACCGUAAGAAUAAGCACCGGCUAACUACGUG